UACGGAGGGGGCAAGCGUUGUUCGGAAUCAUUGGGCGUAAAGGGCGCGUAGGUGGCUCUGUAUGUCUACCGUGAAAGCAUACAGCUCAACUGUAUUUUGUCGGUAGAAACUGCAGGACUUGAGGCUGGGAGGGGCUGGUGGAAUUCCCUGUGUAGCGGUGAAAUGCGUAGAGAUGGGGGAGAACACUCGUGGCGAAGGCGGCCAGCUAGACCAGUUCUGACACUGAGGCGCGACAGCGUGGGGAGCAAACAGG
RNAcentral lists this ribosomal RNA (253 nucleotides) under uncultured bacterium. RNAcentral's name for it is "partial 16S ribosomal RNA". It matches the Rfam family "Bacterial small subunit ribosomal RNA", at positions 524 to 776 of the family's 1533-position model. The record is from RNAcentral.